UUAGUCUAUGUUGUGGUCAAGGCA
Molecule: non-coding RNA, 24 nt
Filed under: Arabidopsis thaliana (thale cress)
Lineage: Eukaryota; Viridiplantae; Streptophyta; Magnoliopsida; Brassicales; Brassicaceae
Source: RNAcentral